RNAcentral lists this ribosomal RNA (61 nucleotides) under Streptococcus equinus. Its description in RNAcentral is "partial 16S rRNA. Bacterial SSU". It matches the Rfam family "Bacterial small subunit ribosomal RNA", at positions 1 to 60 of the family's 1533-position model. Lineage: Bacteria; Bacillati; Bacillota; Bacilli; Lactobacillales; Streptococcaceae. The record is from RNAcentral.
AUUAAAUGAGAGUUUGAUCCUGGCUCAGGACGAACGCUGGCGGCGUGCCUAAUACAUGCAA